CAGGAAGCGGCCCGUGCCAAUCAUGCCCUACUUCCUGCUUUCCUCCUUACUUCCGGUCACACAGAUCAGGGUUAAACAGUGGUAAAGAAGACAUCCGAUCGCAUUGUGUUAGAGGGACUGAGCAGAACCCAGAGCCCUAUCACUGUGCCUCCACCUCACUCACUGAUACAUGAGACACAAUAACCAAAAGAUCCUGGAACUCACCAACAAGACGAUUCAGCUGCUGACUGGAGAGGUGACUUUUGGGAGAGGGAGUAUAUAGAGGAACACAGGGGUCUAUACAAGGACGUGAUGAUGGAGAAUCACCGGCCCCUCACAUCACUGGAUGGGCCCAGUAACAGAGAUACCCCAGAGAGAUGUCCCCGUCCUCUGUAUUCCCAGGAUUGUACAGAGGAGAAUCACAGGACCGCAC
Molecule: long non-coding RNA, 412 nt
Organism: Pseudophryne corroboree (corroboree frog)
Lineage: Eukaryota; Metazoa; Chordata; Amphibia; Anura; Myobatrachidae
Exons: 4
Source: RefSeq, a predicted model, not a curated record